This is a small nucleolar RNA of Grammomys surdaster, 132 nucleotides long. RefSeq annotates it as small nucleolar RNA SNORA17. Lineage: Eukaryota; Metazoa; Chordata; Mammalia; Rodentia; Muridae. The transcript has a single exon. The record is from RefSeq and is a predicted model, not a curated record.
CCUGCUCCAAAAGCCAUUGCAGGUGUGGCUGCUGUGUCACAUGUGUGUCUGUAGGUGGCAGAGAGGAGAGAGGCUAUGUCUAUGCUCAGUGUUCAAACCUAUGAACAUCUGAAUAAUUAAUAGCUUAACAGU